AUAAAAUCCCAAGACCUAAUUGUUUUUCCUUAGUUAGAUAGAGCCAUACCCAGGUGCACUAAGCCAUUUGACUUGUUCUCAUUGUUCUGUUGUUGUUGUUGUUGUAUUUCUUUAAACAAAUGUUGUGCUUGAGAUAAUGUGCCUUCUAUAACACUAUGCACAUAAGAAUACUGCAAAAAGUACCGAGCAUCGCUGGAGAUUUACAGGACGUGUCCUCCUGACAUGAAUGAAUCAAUCAUACCAAGAGUUGCGAUGACAUGGAGGCCAACACGAGUAAAGCGCAAACCGGGACGUCCUCGUAUAACUUGGCGCCACACCUUCAUAGAGGUCAAUACGAGGAAAGCGCAAACAGGAACGCUCUCGUAUAACUUGGCGCCACAAUUUCAUGGAGGCCAACACGAGAAAAGCGCAAACCGGGACGUCCUCGUAUAACUUGGCGCCACACCUUCAUAGAGGUCAAUACGAGGAAAGCGCAAACAGGAACGCUCUCGUAUAACUUGGCGCCACAAUUUCAUGGAGGCCAACACGAGAAAAGCGCAAACCGCGACGUCCUCGUUUAAACUUGGCGCCACAAUUUCAUGGAGGCCAACACGAGAAAAGCGCAAAGCGGGACGUCCUCGUAUAACUUGGCGCCACAAUUUCAUGAUGGAACUCAGCGCAGUGGACACCGGCUGGGAGGAGGCUUUUAAGACGUCGCGAGAGACAGAUCUCUUUGGAGACAGCUUGCUGCUCAAUUCGCCAAACGCCGCUGGAGGAUCUGAGAUGAAAAGAUCUAACCACCAGCUGUACCACAGACAAAAACAUCAAUUAGGCUGAUUCGACUUUGUAAAGAAGAACACAAUGGCUGCACAUGUUAGGAAAGCUAAAUAGAGGAACUGAAGACCCUUAUCAUUUGAGAUGGGAAUCUACCAAAUCACUAAAUUUAGAAAGCCUUCAGGACAGAAGACUUAAAAGUAAAGUAGCAAUUAUACAUAAAACACUGAAUCAUAAUCUUCAAAUACAAAAACAAAAUUUAAUAAAAUACUCUGAAAGACACAAAGGCACAUUCCUCGUCCCAUAUGCUAGGACAAAUUUGUACAAAUACUCCUUCUUCCCUAGUGAUAUUUGAGCAUGGAAUGGGUUGCCUGAGCUAGCCAGGAAAACCAGUGACUUGGCAGAAUUUAAGUCAUUGGUUAAUAUGCAUGACUGAAUGCAUGACGCGUAGGACGUAAUCAACUUCUUUUUUGAAGUAACGUCUGUAUUAUAAAAGAUAAGAUAAGAA
This is a long non-coding RNA of Biomphalaria glabrata, 1261 nucleotides long. RefSeq lists it as uncharacterized. NCBI's taxonomy places the organism in Eukaryota, Metazoa, Mollusca, Gastropoda, Planorbidae. The transcript is spliced from 2 exons. The record is from RefSeq and is a predicted model, not a curated record.